This 542-nucleotide ribosomal RNA is filed under the name uncultured bacterium. RNAcentral's name for it is "bacterial SSU rRNA". It matches the Rfam family "Bacterial small subunit ribosomal RNA", at positions 777 to 1319 of the family's 1533-position model. The record is from RNAcentral.
AAUAGAUACCCGGGUAGUCCACGCCCUAAACGAUGUCGACUGGUUGUUGGGGGUUUGAUACUCUCAGUAACGAAGCUAACGCGUGAAGUCGACCGCCUGGGGAGUACGGCCGCAAGGUUAAAACUCAAAGGAAUUGACGGGGACCCGCACAAGCGGUGGAUUAUGUGGAUUAAUUCGAUGCAACGCGAAAAACCUUACCUACCCUUGACAUGUCCUGAAUCCCGGUGAGAGCUGGGAGUGCCCGAAAGGGAACGGGAACACAGGUGCUGCAUGGCUGUCGUCAGCUCGUGUCGUGAGAUGUUGGGUUAAGUCCCGCAACGAGCGCAACCCUUGUCAUUAGUUGCUACAUUCAGUUGGGCACUCUAAUGAGACUGCCGGUGACAAACCGGAGGAAGGUGGGGAUGACGUCAAGUCCUCAUGGCCCUUAUGGGUAGGGCUUCACACGUAAUACAAUGGCGCGUACAGAGGGUUGCCAAGCCGCGAGGUGGAGCCAAUCCCACAAAGCGCGUCGUAGUCCGGAUUGGAGUCUGCAACUCGACUCC